Molecule: ribosomal RNA, 441 nt
Filed under: Streptococcus gordonii
Lineage: Bacteria; Bacillati; Bacillota; Bacilli; Lactobacillales; Streptococcaceae
Description: bacterial SSU rRNA
Rfam family: Bacterial small subunit ribosomal RNA
Source: RNAcentral
GACGAACGCUGGCGGCGUGCCUAAUACAUGCAAGUAGAACGCACAGUUUAUACCGUAGCUUGCUACACCAUAGACUGUGAGUUGCGAACGGGUGAGUAACGCGUAGGUAACCUGCCUGGUAGCGGGGGAUAACUAUUGGAAACGAUAGCUAAUACCGCAUAAUAUUAAUUAUUGCAUGAUAAUUAAUUGAAAGGUGCAAUUGCACCACUACCAGAUGGACCUGCGUUGUAUUAGCUAGUAGGUGAGGUAACGGCUCACCUAGGCGACGAUACAUAGCCGACCUGAGAGGGUGAUCGGCCACACUGGGACUGAGACACGGCCCAGACUCCUACGGGAGGCAGCAGUAGGGAAUCUUCGGCAAUGGACGAAAGUCUGACCGAGCAACGCCGCGUGAGUGAAGAAGGUUUUCGGAUCGUAAAGCUCUGUUGUAAGAGAAGAACG